GAUGAACGCUGGCGGCGUGCCUAAUACAUGCAAGUCGAGCGAACAGACGAGGAGCUUGCUCCUCUGACGUUAGCGGCGGACGGGUGAGUAACACGUGGAUAACCUACCUAUAAGACUGGGAUAACUUCGGGAAACCGGAGCUAAUACCGGAUAAUAUAUUGAACCGCAUGGUUCAAUAGUGAAAGACGGUUUUGCUGUCACUUAUAGAUGGAUCCGCGCCGCAUUAGCUAGUUGGUAAGGUAACGGCUUACCAAGGCAACGAUGCGUAGCCGACCUGAGAGGGUGAUCGGCCACACGGGAACUGAGACACGGUCCAGACCCCUACGGGAGGCAGGAGUAGGGAAUCUUCCGCAAUGGGCGAAAGCCUGACGGAGCAACGCCGCGUGAGUGAUGAAUGUCUUCGGAUCGUAAAACUCUGUUAUUAGGGAAGAAAAAAUGUGAAAGUAACUAUCCACGUUUUGACUGUACCAAAUCAAAAAGCCACGGCUAACUACGU
This 496-nucleotide ribosomal RNA is filed under the name uncultured bacterium. Its description in RNAcentral is "partial 16S ribosomal RNA". It matches the Rfam family "Bacterial small subunit ribosomal RNA", at positions 28 to 506 of the family's 1533-position model. The record is from RNAcentral.